GGCCUCGUAGCUCAGUCGGAUAGAGCCUCCCCCGAGCUGGCGUGGGUUCAACUCCCACCAGGGCCA
Molecule: transfer RNA, 66 nt
Filed under: Schistocephalus solidus
Lineage: Eukaryota; Metazoa; Platyhelminthes; Cestoda; Diphyllobothriidea; Diphyllobothriidae
Rfam family: tRNA
About the family: Transfer RNA (tRNA) molecules are approximately 80 nucleotides in length. Their secondary structure includes four short double-helical elements and three loops (D, anti-codon, and T loops).
Source: Rfam by way of RNAcentral